This 683-nucleotide ribosomal RNA is filed under the name uncultured Actinomycetes bacterium. RNAcentral's name for it is "bacterial SSU rRNA". It matches the Rfam family "Bacterial small subunit ribosomal RNA", at positions 28 to 723 of the family's 1533-position model. The record is from RNAcentral. Lineage: Bacteria; Bacillati; Actinomycetota; Actinomycetes.
GAUGAACGCUGGCGGCGUGCUUAACACAUGCAAGUCGAACGAUGAUCCGGUGCUUGCACCGGGGAUUAGUGGCGAACGGGUGAGUAACACGUGAGUAACCUGCCCUUAACUCUGGGAUAAGCCUGGGAAACUGGGUCUAAUACCGGAUAUGACUCCUCAUCGCAUGGUGGGGGGUGGAAAGCUUUUUGUGGUUUUGGAUGGACUCGCGGCCUAUCAGCUUGUUGGUGAGGUAAUGGCUUACCAAGGCGACGACGGGUAGCCGGCCUGAGAGGGUGACCGGCCACACUGGGACUGAGACACGGCCCAGACUCCUACGGGAGGCAGCAGUGGGGAAUAUUGCACAAUGGGCGCAAGCCUGAUGCAGCGACGCCGCGUGAGGGAUGACGGCCUUCGGGUUGUAAACCUCUUUCAGUAGGGAAGAAGCGAAAGUGACGGUACCUGCAGAAGAAGCGCCGGCUAACUACGUGCCAGCAGCCGCGGUAAUACGUAGGGCGCAAGCGUUAUCCGGAAUUAUUGGGCGUAAAGAGCUCGUAGGCGGUUUGUCGCGUCUGCCGUGAAAGUCCGGGGCUCAACUCCGGAUCUGCGGUGGGUACGGGCAGACUAGAGUGAUGUAGGGGAGACUGGAAUUCCUGGUGUAGCGGUGAAAUGCGCAGAUAUCAGGAGGAACACCGAUGGCGAAGGCA